This 767-nucleotide small RNA is filed under the name Pongo abelii (Sumatran orangutan). Its description in RNAcentral is "processed transcript". The record is from RNAcentral. Lineage: Eukaryota; Metazoa; Chordata; Mammalia; Primates; Hominidae.
CCGUGUGUGGCAGCAGGGCCAGAAGGGUGUGGCCUAUGACCUGGGCCGUGUGGAGAGGAUCAUGUCGGAGACCUACAUGCUCAUCAAGCAGGUGGAUGAGGAGGCUGCGCUGGAGCAGGCUGUGAAGUUCUGCCAGGUCCAUCUUGGGGCUGCCGCCCAGAGACAGGCCUCGGGGGACACCCCCACCACUCCAAAGCACCCCAAAGACAGCCGAGAGAACUUCUUUCCUGUGGCAGUGGUGCCCACAGCCUCUGACCCUGUGCCAGCUGACUCUGUCCAGCGGCCCAGUGAUGCUCACACCAAGCCUCGCCCUGCACUAACUGCCGCCACAACUAUUAUCACCUGCCCUCCGUCAGCAUCAGCUUCCACUCUGGACCCGUCCAAGGACCCUGGGCCUCCCCGGCCACACAGGCCUGAAGCUACCCCCAGCAUGGCCUCUCUGGGCCCAGGCCCUCCCCUGCUUCUCCCUCCCUGCCUCAGGGACCCAUCCUGUUUCCUUGCCGCAGACCCUGCACUGGCCCACAGCCUGUGUCACCCCUGGAGGCUCACCUGUCUUCCCAGUUGAAUUUCCCACCCAUCUGAAAAACGAGACAGCCACUCUGCAGAAGUGCCCAGCAGAAGGCAGGCCUGAGAGCCCCCACAGACUGUGGGCCUGAGUGGAGGUUGAGUUGAGAAGUCUUUCUCAGCUCUUUCCCACGGUGGCUCAAGCAGCAGGUGCUGAUGUUUUCACCUGAUGCCAUCCACACUGCUUUGAGGAUUGUGAACAU